GUCUCUCCCUCUCUCUCUCUGUAUCUCUCCCUCUCUGUCUUUCUCUCUCUAUCAUUCUACUCAUCCCUCUCUUCUGUCUGUCUCUCUCCCUCUCUCUCUUUCUCUCUCUCCAUCAGUCUGCUCAUCCCCCUCUCUAAUCUGUUUUUCUGUAAUCCUCAUCAACGCCCCUCCCCCUGCCCUCUGCUCUUCCUCAUUUUCCCACUCUCCACCUUUCUACAUCGAAUAAUUAUGCUUUUCUCUUCCUCCUCUUCCUCCUCCUCUUAGGGUUCUUAGUAACUUAUCAAACAAUUUUUAUUUUUUGUGUGUUGAUGAAUUUGGUCUUUAAUUUAAUUUAUACUUUUGAAAUGGAUGUCUCCUUUAUCUGAAAUGAAAGCCUUCUACGGCACACACACACACACACACACACACACACACACACACACACACACACACACACACACACACACACACACACACACACACACACACACACACACACACACACACACACACACACACACACACACACACACACACACACACACACACACACACACACACACACACAAGUCCAGGAUAUUUUUGUUGUUUUCAGUCCAUUUAAUCAGAGAAUGUUUCUUCAACAAUAUAUAUGACAUAUAUCAGAGUGGGUGACUGAGUGUAAAUAGAUAUUUUCUUGUGGAUGCUUUAGACACAUAGAGGAUUUGAGAUUUAAAAUAAAAGAUGGCAUGAUGAUAUGAUACCUAUGAAUUUUCCAACGCUGUAAGAUUAAUAAAGAGUUAAGUAGUGUCAGGUAAACAGAGUGAAGGGUAAAGGUUAGAGGUUAAGACAGAGUAAUGGUUAGAGUAGAGAUAGAGGCGGCUGGCUAACAGACAGACUUUUAGUAAUGUCAGUUAGUGUGUUUUAUCUUCUGUUCAGUUUGUUGUGGUAGAGCUGCUCUGUUAGCCGCUAGGUCCUGGUGUCCUGGUUGGCCAGCUAGCUGUUAGCCGCUAGAUCCUGGUUAGCCAGCUAGCUGUUAGCCAUACUGCUAGGUCCUGGUUAGCUAGCUGUUAGCCACUAGAUCAUAUAGGUCCUGGGUACCUAGCUGUAAGACAUAUCGCUAGGUCACUAGUUGCUAGGUCAGUUUGAAUACCUGUGGUGCGUUUGAAUACUUUAAGGGAAGUGGACGAUAUAUUGAGAUGAUAUUGGGGCAAUAUCGGGGUAAUACUGGGGUGAUAUUGGGGCAACACUGGGGUGAUAUUGAGGUAAUAUUGGGGCAAUACUGGGGCGAUAUUGGGGCAAUACUGGGGCAAUACUGGGGCGAUAUUGGGGUAAUAUUGGGGCAAUACUGGGGCGAUAUUUGGGUAAUAUUGGGGUGAUAUUGGUGUAAUAUUGUGGUGAUACUGGGGCAAUAUUGGGUUGAUACUGGGGCAAUACUGGGGCGAUAUUGGGUUGAUACUGGGGUGAAGCAGGGGUAAUAUUGGGGUAAUGCUGGGUCUAUAUUGGGGUGAUAUUGGGGUAAUACUGGGUCUAUAUUGAGGUGAUACGGGGUAAUACUGGGUUGAUAUUGGGGUAAUACUGGGUCGAUAUUGUGGUAAUACUGGGUUGAUAUUGGGGUGAUACUGGGUCGAUAUUGAGGUGAUACGGGGUGAUAUUGGGGUAAUACUGGGUCUAUAUUGAGGUGAUACGGGGUGAUAUUGGGGUAAUACUGGGUUGAUAUUGGGGUGAUACUGGGUCGAUAUAUCAAGGGGAUUUCUGCUUUUAAUGUCUUUCUUUUUUAUUCUGUUUCUCCACUCGUUUAUUUGUGCUGUGUUUGUUUGUGUGUCAUCAGCCUAGUGGCGGUUUAGAACACAACAUUGUGUACAGUUACCACGGCAACCACAGCAUCAGGCCGGAGUCUCGCCCUAACUUCACCACACACCCGCCACUCACACUGUUGUGCCACAUGUGAGCCUUUCGUCUUGCUGUUGGUCAUGCCCCUUUAAUCUCUAAACCAAUCCUUUCCCUUUAAACAGUGAUGCCACUUCCUGGUCUGGGCUGUCUGACCAAUCAGAGCCCAGCCUGUCUCCAUCCCUCCAUCUUAGUAAGAAUUUGUUUUCUUUUCAUUUGUUCUCAAUUCCUUUUCUGUGCAACGUUCAGCAGAUACAAACUAGAUGUGGUUAAUAAUGACAUCAUCUGUAUUACUGCCUCAGAUAUUCCAUGUGGAACCUUCUGAAGAAUAUUGCUGUAAAAACAAGAAAUAAAAAGAUUUUGUGUUUAAAA
This is a non-coding RNA of Oncorhynchus mykiss (rainbow trout), 2220 nucleotides long. Lineage: Eukaryota; Metazoa; Chordata; Actinopteri; Salmoniformes; Salmonidae. The record is from RefSeq and is a predicted model, not a curated record.